This 69-nucleotide transfer RNA is filed under the name Ictidomys tridecemlineatus (thirteen-lined ground squirrel). Its description in RNAcentral is "Spermophilus tridecemlineatus (thirteen-lined ground squirrel) tRNA". It matches the Rfam family "tRNA". From Rfam's summary of the family: Transfer RNA (tRNA) molecules are approximately 80 nucleotides in length. Lineage: Eukaryota; Metazoa; Chordata; Mammalia; Rodentia; Sciuridae. The record is from Rfam by way of RNAcentral.
GGGGUUGUGGCUCAGUGGUAGAGCACUUGCCUAGAAUGUGCAAGGUCCUGGGUUUGAUCCUCAGCACCA